AUUGAACGCUGGCGGCAUGCCUUACACAUGCAAGUCGAACGGCAGCACGGGUGCUUGCACCUGGUGGCGAGUGGCGAACGGGUGAGUAAUACAUCGGAACAUGUCCUGUAGUGGGGGAUAGCCCGGCGAAAGCCGGAUUAAUACCGCAUACGAUCUACGGACGAAAGCGGGGGACCUUCGGGCCUCGCGCUAUAGGGUUGGCCGAUGGCUGAUUAGCUAGUUGGUGGGGUAAAGGCCUACCAAGGCGGCGAUCAGUAGCUGGUCUGAGAGGACGACCAGCCACACGGGGACUGAGACACGGCCCACACUCCUACGGGAGGCAGCAGUGGGGAAUUUUGGACAAUGGGCGAAAGCCUGAUCCAGCAAUGCCGCGUGUGUGAAGAAGGCCUUCGGGUUGUAAAGCACUUUUGUCCGGAAAGAAAUCCUGGGCCCUAAUACGGUCGGGGGAUGACGGUACCGGAAGAAUAAGCACCGGCUAACUACGUG
Molecule: ribosomal RNA, 486 nt
Filed under: uncultured bacterium
Lineage: Bacteria
Description: partial 16S ribosomal RNA
Rfam family: Bacterial small subunit ribosomal RNA
Source: RNAcentral